This 433-nucleotide ribosomal RNA is filed under the name uncultured bacterium. Its description in RNAcentral is "partial 16S ribosomal RNA". It matches the Rfam family "Bacterial small subunit ribosomal RNA", at positions 29 to 507 of the family's 1533-position model. The record is from RNAcentral.
AAUGAACGCUGGCGGCAUGCCUAACACAUGCAAGUCGAACGAAGGCUUCGGCCUUAGUGGCGCACGGGUGCGUAACGCGUGGGAAUCUGCCCUUGGGUUCGGAAUAACAGUUAGAAAUGACUGCUAAUACCGGAUGAUGUCGUAAGACCAAAGAUUUAUCGCCCAAGGAUGAGCCCGCGUAGGAUUAGCUAGUUGGUGGGGUAAAGGCCUACCACGGCGACGAUCCUUAGCUGGUCUGAGAGGAUGAUCAGCCACACUGGGACUGAGACACGGCCCAGACUCCUACGGGAGGCAGCAGUGGGGAAUAUUGGACAAUGGGCGAAAGCCUGAUCCAGCAAUGCCGCGUGAGUGAUGAAGGCCGUAGGGUUGUAAAGCGCUUUUACCCGGGAUGAUAAUGACAGUACCGGGAGAAUAAGCGCCGGCUAACUUCGUG